RNAcentral lists this long non-coding RNA (431 nucleotides) under Brachypodium distachyon (stiff brome). RNAcentral describes it as "long non-coding RNA (BDIS_LNC000163)". The record is from RNAcentral. Lineage: Eukaryota; Viridiplantae; Streptophyta; Magnoliopsida; Poales; Poaceae.
UCCUGUAUGUAAUGGCCAGGUAGUAAUUAGGAUCCAUGUUUGGAACUGAACUAGAACUUGUGGGUCAAGAUUUAUUUUACAUAGGUACAACCGUUUUUUUGCUAAAAAUUAAGUCUGCGUAAGAAAAUCUCAGUUCACUUGUUCUCAAAAAAAAAAUCCCAGUUCACUUCGGUCUAGACAGUCACAGUCCAACUAAGGAUCUUAAAUUAAAAAAAUGUUAACCGUAUAAAGGGUAAAUAUACUAGUGACUAGUUUCAAGAAUCUUGUUUGAAAAACUAACUAAAAGAUACAUUGUUUCUUUCAUGCAUAUUACUCUAGAUUCAAAACAUGUAAUUGUGCCCGACCGCCCUAGGUGGUUAAUACCUCUCCAUGUCCCUCCCUCGUGCGAGUGCGACCGCCUCCUCCUCGUCCAGAUCUCCUCAGGGAGUUCC